This is a long non-coding RNA of Prinia subflava (tawny-flanked prinia), 10070 nucleotides long. RefSeq lists it as uncharacterized. The transcript has 3 exons. The record is from RefSeq and is a predicted model, not a curated record. Lineage: Eukaryota; Metazoa; Chordata; Aves; Passeriformes; Cisticolidae.
GGAGGGCGCGCGCACCCGGCUCGCGGCUCCCCCUAGGCGUCUGUGAUUGGUGCGCGCGCGCGAAGGGAGCACGAGGCGCUCGCCCGCGGGGCGGGGGCUGAGCCUGAGGGGAGCGCUGAGGGAAGCCCUGAAACUCCUGGUUGUGACAUGUGCUGUGGUACAACACCAGCUUUAGAUGUAACUGCAGCCCACAGAACAAUACAUCAUGACUUGCAGGAAUUCAGUUUGCCAGUCCUCUUCAAAAUGAGCUUCCUUCUUGGGACAGGAUUUGGCCACGUGGAGAUCUGUCUUAGCUUCUUUUCAGACUUUGACAUGGGUCUGGCAAAUCCACCACCUUGGAAGAGCAAAGGACCUCCAGCAGCAGCAUAUGGGACCUCUCUGUCGUGAAUUCCAGUAGAACAUCAGGGAUCUCAGCUCUACAGCUCAUCAAAACGGGUCAUGCCUCACAGCCAGACACCAGAUGAUGCAUGGAGUGAUUCACUGCAGCACUUGGGCAGGAGGGUAAGAGUGACCACAGCACUUGUUCCUCUACAUAUCGUGGUGGGAUCUGUGCCCCAGCUGCCUGGGAAAGCUUAUGCUGCCUUUUUGAGAAAUGCCAGCAGCAGAUUCAGCAGCAGCUUGGAGGACCAAAGCUGUGUGGUACCCAGCAGAACCACAGCUACAUUAGACAUGUGCUGAAAUAACUGAUUUAGGAGCUAACUUCAAGAAAUGCUGCUCUGGACCUGAUGUGCACCUUUUCUGCUGAGAAAGACAAAAGAUCUCCUUAGCCGCUUUGCAGUUCUCAGCGCCACAUGGGAACAGAGAAAGUAUUGUAAGCAAGGUGUGAUUGAUUCUUAUGCCAUUCCCUCUCCACCCUUCUCUAGUGCUGGGUUCUGUACCAGUGACACAGCCAUUACUUUAUGUAGCGGGCUUUGUCUCAGCUUCCCAACAAUAGCAUAUAAAGUAAUGUGCUUUCUGGGCAUGCAAAAGUAUCAAAAUACUCUUAUCUCAGCAAUUGGCUCUGCUGUGAGAAAUAAUUCUCGCUCAUCAACCAUUUAAAGCAAAAAUUAUUGUAAUUACAGGUUAGCACAAGAACAUGAAAAAAUCCAACUUAAUUUUGACUCCAAGCACAAUAUCUGUUAGAUUCCUGUCACUCAGAGGCUUCAGGACUGUCUUACAGAGCAUUCAAAUAAGAACAAGCUCUUCCAAACACAAGUCCUUAGUUUGUUUUAUUAUUUCUGCCCAUAGUUUUUACCACACAUUGUUUUGCAAGGCUCUUUGAAACCUGCAUUUAGGCUAAGUGAAGAGCUAGUGGAUAAGAUUUUUUCCCUUGUGGAAUGAUGAAAAAGUUUAUUUAAACCUUUGUAAGAGGUUUCCUUCUUUCACGUGUGCAUGCCAAGGCUAUUGCUAAGAAAGGUUUGAUUCAGGGCUGGAAAACUUGCUUAGCACACUGACAGGGUAUGCAGGAUGUCAGUAUGAUGCUCCCCAUGCAGAAGGUUUGGAGUGUACAGCUAUCUUCUUGUCUUGUGACAAGAGAAUUGUACAAGAGGACAGUUCCCCUCCUCCUGGAGGUUCAUUGUUGGGAACAUGAUGACAAAAACACAGCCACAUAGUAUGUCAACACAAGAGCAGAACCAGGCCACCUCUUCCCUGUCAUUAGCCUAUUUGGCUUGGGACAUCCUGUGUUUGUCUUUAGAAGGACACCAGUGUCCCCGUACCUGCCUGGCCGUUGUUGUUCCCUGGCACAGCCCCAGCAGUCCUGUUAUCCCAAGGAGGUGAGAGGCAGAGGUCCAGCAGUGAUGGCAUGAGGCUGGGUCAGGUCACUCUGGCACUUGUGCAUGACCAGUCUGUCAAUGCAGCCUGAGGGAUGCUGCCAAUCCAGCCUCUUGCUGCGCUUCAAAAUCGCUCCUUGUGGCUCCAUGGCUGCAUGCCACAGAAAGACAUUGCUCAGUUAAAGUUCAAACUGAAUUUGUAGCCAAAAAAAACAACUCCUGGUCCCUUCCUGUCCUGAAUUAGAAUGACUUCAAAACAAAUCAGGUGACCUCAAAAAACAAAAAUAGAAGUGCUAUGCAGUCAUCACCUGCUUUCCUAGAAAAUCCGAUUUUCGUCAUUUGCACCUACUGGCAAGCCUCACCGGAGCUGUGUUUUUGUAAGACUACACAGUCCAGCAAGCCAGCCCUGAAAUGGGUGAUUAGCUGCCUGCAAUGUUUUGUCCCCCACACUGAAGCCUAUAGGGGUCUGUUACACCUAUUUUUCCCUACUGAAAAACCAUCCAUCUUCAUGUAAACUUGUUAGAGUCACAAUCUGAAAAGGAUUUUUCUUGUUCUUAAUAGGUUUAUCAUUCACACUCUUAUUGUGAUCCACAUCUUCCUUUCACAAUGCAGAAUGCCCUGGGUCUCAGGAUCUCCCCUGGGAUUUCAUUACACCAAGGGUGGGAUUUCAGCACAGCCACCUGUGUCUUGGCUCAGCCCAAACUCCUGUGUGCAGUCAACAGCACCAAGGGCGAGGUUCACUUAACCUUGAAAAUUCUUAAACAACUGCUAGUUUCUUUCCUUUGGCUAUUAAAGGAAACCAGACUGGCUAGCUUGGUGUACACCUCUACUUUGCAGAUAUCUAGAAUGAUGAUGAACACCAUGAAAAGUGACUCUGAAUUCUUUCUGAACAGGAUUUACCCUCCUGGGUUUUUUCUCACUAUUCACACAAAUGAAGGGAAAGGUAAGCAUGCCAGGAACGCACUCUUUUUUCCAGUAGGAGGGCCAGACUUCCUUUUGGUUUGUAACCUUUGCAGCAAGGUUUCUUUCUUUUAAAGCACAAACAUACAAGAUUAAAGCCACCUAAAUUCUGUACAGUCCUCAACACCUUGGCUGAGACAGUCUCUCUAUGUCCUUAAAGAGCAUUUGUACUCCAGAGAGAUGCAAAGUGCCUGCACAAGGAUCAGUCCCUCAGUUUUCCCAGUUUGGGCCCUUACAGGGACUUUUUGGCCAGACACAUCAUUUGUCUUCCUUGAUUUCAAACUUAGCAACUUGUUUGUGAUAGGGCCCCCUUGAAACAGCAGAAGACUGCCGUGCACACACCCAGGAAGAAGAGGUAACAACUGCUAAAGGCAGCAACACUUAGCUAUGAAAAGUCUACUGUGUCUUAAUGGUGAAAGCAAGCUAGGACAGAAGGGAGCUGUUGCAGAUUUGCACUGGGAGGGUGGGAAUGUGUGUUGGCCUGCUGGGAAGAGAGCAGAGGGCCUGUUUUUAGAUGAUGGCCAGGAUUAGGUAGACUGGGUUGUUUGCGGAGGGAUGAAGGCGUCUGUGUCUCCCUCAGAAAAGAACUAGAGAAGUAUCAGCAUCAGCACAAAGAUUGAGCACACAUGCUGCAAAGGCAGAAAGGAUGGUAUUUUCUGGUUUAGCCUAGUUGUUGCUUUUGGCUGAUAACCAGUAAAAAUAAAAUUUUACUGUUAUUAUUACCACAUUUGAGAAAUCAGUGUGAAGGACAAUCCUGCCACCAGAUAGAGAAUAACACAGGAGAGAAUCUAAUAGCUCCCUCCUAUCCUUUUCUCUUAGACUGUGCUAAAAUGAUAACACUUCCUUAUCUGCAAACUAACAAUAGCUCUGCAGCAGCAUAGGAAAGUUAAACAAGCCUUGAGUCAAGGGGAUGUAGAGAUUACCCCUAAGCACUGACUAAGGCUGUAGACCACAUAUUCUUCUGGGAAAAAUCAACCUGCAAAAGGAACAAGUUUUGAGGUGUUACUCACCUAAAACUGUAGUCCUGUGGCUCAUCAUGUUCCACCUCUAAAUAUCUCCCCCAGGUACUGAUCACAGGCUAGCAAAAUCACAGACUUGAAGAUUUUGCCUUUAGAUCUGAACAUAUCCCCUGUCAAUAGCAGAUAAUGCUCUAGCAGUGGAUUUCAUCCAUGCAACAACAAAAAUAGGAAAGAAACCCUGACACUGAGCCAGCCAUCAAUAGACAGGCACUGCAUGGUGACUGAACUAAUGUGCCCCCAGGAACUGUCCUGCUACAGAGAGUUUUCCUGCACAUGGCAGAGCAGGGAAGAAGUAAACUGGGAAAUUUCUGCUCUUUUAUUUGUGUUCAGAGUCAGGUAGUUUGCAGCUGAAUGGUAAAUUCUUUCAAGGCAUUCUUAAAGGAAAGAUGGAAUUGUAGCUUGGAGCAUGUCCUUGCUAGAACUGCAUUAACUCUGAAUAACUCUGCUGUACUGCACCAUACUAAGCAGAACAGAAUCCCUCUACUUAGAAAGCUUUUGUGCUGCUAGUUACUGAAAUCACAGACAAUAUCCUUUGCAUUGUACUUGUAUGAUUCUCCUCCCAUGCUACAUCAACUUAUUUAAAAUAUUACAGACUUCUGAGGAGGGCUUUGUUCCAAGAUGUACUUUUUCAACAUUCUUAGCUUUCCUCUCUGUAAGGUGGGUGAUGUGUUCUUCCACACCCACCCUUUGGCCUUGAGAAGCCAGUCCCUUAACAAACCAUGCCACGCUCUGUUUGUUUUAGUAAUUCUUACCCAAGGUCUUUAUCUUAGAAUCCUGUUUGUGCAGCUUUGGACAAGAUUCAGUACUUGGAGGGGAGGGUGAGUGAGGUGGGAAGGAUUUUUUACUGCCUUUAGUAUUUAAUAUGUUAUCUCACCUGUGACUAUUAAGUAGAUGAUUUACAAGCUUGUUGACACUGAGAUGCUGUGAGUUUCUGCCCCUUACAGUAGAUGCAAACACAACUUGAAAGAGCAACUGUGGGAGGGAUAAGGGCUACAGAGAAUUACAGUUUCCGGCCUGUGCAGAAAGCACCCAGGAAAUCUUUGGAGAAAACACUGUGGUGGGUAGCCCACUGCAAGCUCUUCACCUGCUUCUGGCAGGUCUGUUCACAACAGCAGCACACUAAAAUCACAUCCAUCUUCUCUUGCAGCUGCAAAUUCUUACAGUGCUCCUCCACACUGUGAAUUUGCUAAUGAGAGUUGUGUGUCAGUCCCUGACCAGGACACACUUGCUGAGGCCAGGCUGCUGCAGACUGAGCAGCAUGAGCUGUUGCUUUGGGAGCUUAACAGCACAGUGCAGGAAUGCCUGGAAUGUUUCAGUCAGCAGGUACUUCAGAGAUCCUUCUCUAGGAAAUGCCUGCACUUCUCAUUGAAGUAGUCCCCCAGCCCACUGCCCCUCUGAGACAGUAACAGUGGGCUCCCUCUUCUCCCCUCCAACCUUCACACAAAUCAAAAUUUUCUCUCCAGCUCCAGUGUUAACCCCGGCUUCCCUUUGUAAUGCAAAAUCAUCACGGGAAAUGAAAAUUCCACAAAUAAGCAACAUACCAGUGUCUUUCCAAACAUGCUGUAGGUCUGGAUACAACCUUGGAGGGCAGGCCGCUUUUAGAGGAUGAUCCCUUCCAUAGCUGUGGGGCCAAGUGUUUGCAGCUCAUCAAUUCAACAGCUUCCAACAGCAGAAAAAGAAGUUGCUCAUCUGGCAAGAAAAGCUAUCAUAGUUUAAAAGACCACCUCUGCUUUUGUAGUUAUCUUUCCUAUGCUGUCUCCACCUUACCCUACCUAUCCAACUCUGAAACACCUUGCAGACACUAAGAGUUAAAUUUUCUGAUAAGUGCUUCUCUGAUUUCCCAUAUCUUUUAAACUUCCCACCUCUGCAAACCAGUGCUUGCUGAAAGACCUUUGUCCCUACCACACUAAUCACCAGCCCAACAUAUCACGGACAUACUCUCCAGGAUCUAGGGCUGUUGCGGGAAAGGAGAUACAGUAUGGAGCCGUCUUUAAUGCAUCCUAAAAACACUUUGUGAACUAUUCUAACUGUGAAAUACCUCUGUCCAUUGGGUUAAUUCUUGUCAUUUCUGGACAGAUAAAAUGACUGUCAAGAAACAUCUUUUGCUCAUUUAUAAUUGGUUGAGAAACUUCACUUCUAGAAGGGAAGAAUGCAAAUCACUGUAGCUAGUACCUAAAUUGACAGGAAGGGUAGAGGUGUCAGUUUGAGGGGAAAUGAAAGCAGGGUUAGUUGCUAAAAAAGCAGUGUAAACAUCUGGAAAAACUCCAGUCAAUAACAUCUCCUUUCUUGUCUCCAGGUUUACUUGUAUUACUUGAAACAAGAUGCCAUCAACCAAACCAAACACCUGAGGUUCUAUACCAUGAUCUGCCCCAUUAAUGACCAGGGACAACUGAACCAGCUAUUCCAAAAUACCUUUUAGCCACCCUGUGCAAAUAGAGGUCUCCUAAGUAAGCUGUAGGUACAUGUCUUGUACACAGGCAGGAUAUGCAGAGUUUUCUGAAAGAAGAAUGAAAGCAAAUGUCAGUGUUUCAUACACAGUGGCAGGCACAGUUAAUUGACUUGCUGAAUAUAAAAUAUUAAUUUAACAUAUAAAUAUGAGAGGAAGGAAGAAAUCAAUUCACUUAACUUGAAUUUUCUCUAUGCUGGCAAUCUGCUAAAAUCCAAUAAUCUUGGUGUUCAAAGGAGAGAUUCCUCCAAUGUUCAACCCAUUCAUUGUUACUGUUGACCUGCAGAACUGGCAGAGGGCAGCUCAAUCAUUCCCAGGCAUGCAGGGCAAGGAAACGCUUGUUGGAUAGAGCGCCUCCCUUUCAGUAUCAUGAAACCCCUCCUGAGACAAGCUGCUGCAGCCAGGGGCUCAGCAGGAAAGGGGUUCUGCCAGAGUCAUGGGACUGGGGGUGUUAGAGACAGACAGAUCUGCAGUCCUGAGCCGAGGAGCCUGGGUACCAGAGCUGCGGCCCCAGCACUGCUGAGAGGUGUGGUGUCACUUCCAGCUGGAGUGUCCAGGGCUGUAGUGUGCCAGGCAGGCUGCCUUGGCCAGGUUUCCCAAAUGCUGUACCGGAGACAGACUGUACAGAGCAUACUCUGCACAGAGAACACCACUGUUGUGCUGCAGCUACUCCUCUGGGACCCAAUGUCACACACAAAUCCUGAGCAAAGGGAGAAAUCGAUCUGCCAAGGGCACUUCCAGAGAAGCUCUGAACUGCAACAGGAUGGGCAGUGCCCAGUCAGGUGGUUCCUGUUUGUUUUGUACUCCUGUAGGCAAGAGAAUCCAUCCUCAGCUUUUCCCUGAAGCAAAGCUGAGUAAUGGGGCCCUGCCUAGAUUGAUAAAGGGAAAGUAGGGCCUUUCCUCCAUGUGCACUGGAAUGAACUUGAGGAAAAAGGUAAGAAACAGCCACCUGAGCUCUUGCAUACCACUUCUGGGGCCCAAGAGAGAGUUACAUCAGCAAAAUUAGGGCAACUUCAAGGUUUUAUUAACUCAACGGUGCACUGACAUCCACACUACAGGCUUUGGUGAACCUGUCAAACGUGGUGGAAUUGGUAGGACAGAUUUCACUCAGUCUCUCGGUGGGUCUGGUCUGACACUGACUAGAACUUCAAAGAAGAUAAAAAAUGUUACUUGCUCAGACAGGCUUACAAGGAUGGUGCCACAAACUUCAGAAGAGGAGUUAAUUUGACAUGUCUUAACUUGUACAGAGAGAGGAAUUUCCUUUAAAUCAUUAUUGCUCUACCAGCCAUAAAACCUCAGAUUUCUGUUUGUGCACGACUCUUCUUGAAAGAAAGGCAUUAUACUGUACGUAUAGUUAAAAUCCAGACUUUGGGGAACUGCAAAAUUGACCAUGACUUCUAAAGAAGUAGCUUCUAGAAGAAAACUCAACUCUGGAGAAAGGACAACAUUUUUCACAAAAUUGGGAGAAGAAACAGGAAAAUCCUUUACUCAUGUAUUUCUGCUUUCUGCCACAUGGUAUGUAUGUUUAUGUCUUUCACUGCAUGAGAAAAUGGUUGCACAGUUGCCUGGAAAUCUCAGUGCAAGGUCCCUCCACAUCAGCACAGUUUAGUCUCGUUAAUCUUUCCAAGGUCUCCCCUUUCCACUGUCUGUUGCCCUUCCUUCUCCUGGGCCAAUGCUGUCCCUUAUCCUCUCCUGCCAAUGUCACUCUUACCUCUGUUCUUCCAUCUUUUCUACCUCUCCCCUUCUCCUGUUACCAUCUUUCGUGCAAAUGCCACUCACCUUCUCUGUUGUCUCUUGCUAACUCAUCCAGUCUUUAUCCCUUUCCAGAACAGUUGAAAGGCAGCAAAUUGGUAGAAAUAGGAGAAACAACAUCUUUCAAACCUUGCUACAGGACCAAUGUUUCUGCUAUCCUUCAUAAGUGGAAGUCUUUCCAAAGAGACUUUGCCUUUCUGCUCUGGGGGAAGACAUUGUGUUCUCACUGACUGUAAGAGCAGAGGGGAGACAGAACAGGAAGGGCUGGGAGUCUGUGUUCAGUUUGAACUGCAGCAAAUACUUCCAACUGGGAAUAAGGGCAGUCCAUGGUGUCAGCUGCUCUAUUUCUGACUCAUAGCUCAGGAGGCCUCUAUUUCCCACAGCCCCAUGUUCAGCAGGUAGCAUGGCACAUGCACUUCUGCAAAUGCCAAAGUAGACAAAUAAUGCUCACUCGCCGGCAGUGGUCUGGCUAUUGAUAUUCCAAAAUUAGGGAUUCAGCUCCAUCCUUUCACACUGAGUGCAGCAGCUUAAAGCACUGUCGCCACCCUUGCUGCAUAGUUUGCUCUCAGUGCAUGAGAGACAUACGGUGUCCUGUCACUGCCCCAGAAGCAGAACAAUAGCACAGGAUUUACAGAGCCUGAGGGAAUGAUUUUCUGGAGCAUGCAGUGUUGGCCUGGUGCCACUGCCAUGGAGGUCAGGGUCAAAUUGGCCAUUUGCUUAUAAAGCAGCUGGUACUAUUGAAAAAUGCCACCCUUGGGCUCUGUGAACUUGGGCUGCUUUCUCUGUCCCACAGUAGAAUUGAAAACAUCUUUCAUCUGCAGUGCUGUGGAGAGGAUCGGCAGUAGAUAAGAGCUAUCUAGACAAAUGUCCUUUUCUUCGAAGGAGCACUUGGAAAUCUGCCCUUUACCCAGACUCCAACACAAAUGGACAAAAUCACAACCCUUUAAACAGGAGCUCCUUCCCUACAUAGAUCUGUAUGCAAGUAAGAGAGAGAGCCUGGCAGUUGUCAGAACCCAUCUAAGGCCACAUCCAAAACUUCAGCUGAACUUAUCUUCUUGCAAGAAUCUAUUCUGUUUUGUAGUAUUUCUCCAUGUUUAAAUAAAUGCCCACACCCAAGCAAAAAGGGACACAACAAAAUCCUGGGAGACCUACUAUGCAUGAUUGUCAUAGUUUAAGCAUCACUGUUGUGCUUAUAGAUGUAGACAUGUUCGGACACCGCAAUGCCAGCAAGUAGAAGGAACAUCUGAAAAUAACUUUAAAAGUUAACACACACAAUUAAGUAAUGAAACAUGGAAGCAAAGAGCUAAAAAGACACCAAAAUGAAGCCUAAAGAAAGUGGCCAACAUCAACAGACAAAAUCUGCAGCACACCCAACCUUAACAGGAAGCAGGAAUUCCUUGCCUAGGGAUGUCUUCUAAAUGAAAAGAUCAUAAGACUGAGAUUAUAAACUGUCAAAGAAUCUUGUCCCUUGGGUGGUACCAGUCAACAGGUCUAUGCUGAGAUGGCAAAAUGAAGUAAUAUAUGCUGUUAUCUCAGGGCACAUUACAAGGUUGAGGUGGAGAUGGUAAUUAUAUUGAUGUUCAAGUCAUGCUUUUUUCAAUAAAAAUGUAAUUUAGUGGCCCUAUAGUUAUUCUUCAGCUGUGGAGGUCCAGAGUCUAAGGUCAGGCCUUCAUAAAUGGGAAUUUACUCAUGCUCAGCUGACUCUGAUGUUACCCUUUGAAUGGACACAUCAAUGAUAUGAGUUACAAUGCCUCACCCACUUCCACUUACCUCCUUCCUUUUUCAUACCAUUUUGUCAAUACAACCUGGAAGCAGAGAUGACAACUCAGACCUGCGAGAGUGAACUUUGGCUGCUGUGUGAAAUGUUUACACUGACUGCUGUGUAGUGUCACCCACCAGGCUGCAAAAUCAAUAUGAACUACAUGAUCUGAUGCUUCAGAUAACACUCACCAACAGAGACAGAGCAAACUAUCAUACUCCAACUAGUGCCACGUGAACUGCAACACUGCUCAGGUGUAAUAUACCUCGCUACCCAAAGAAAGGACACACGAGCUUUACAUCUCAAAUCCCACUGUGCUCAUGUACAGAAAAGGGGAUGUAAGCAUGGCCCACAUACUGUUAAAUGGGAGGAGAGGGGGCUAC